RNAcentral lists this small RNA (91 nucleotides) under Cohnella sp. OV330. Its description in RNAcentral is "BsrC". It matches the Rfam family "BsrC". Rfam says of the family: The 301 nucleotide sequence from Kouji Nakamura has been trimmed to a highly conserved ~85 nucleotide long core to form this family. The record is from Rfam by way of RNAcentral. Lineage: Bacteria; Bacillati; Bacillota; Bacilli; Caryophanales; Paenibacillaceae.
AUGCACGAAAGCAACGAAAGCCCUGCCUCUCAGUCGUUCUUGCGGCUCCAAUGACCGCGCCAGUCUUGAAUUCGUGUCCUUCCAGCAGCCU